Molecule: long non-coding RNA, 763 nt
Filed under: Gossypium raimondii (Peruvian cotton)
Lineage: Eukaryota; Viridiplantae; Streptophyta; Magnoliopsida; Malvales; Malvaceae
Description: long non-coding RNA (GRAI_LNC004657)
Source: RNAcentral
CUAAACUAGCCUCUCAUAGCUAGCAAAGUAGAACACGAAUCCAUUGAAAAGAACAUGAAUUACAAGCUGAUUCUUGGAAGGUAAAGUUCUUCGAGUCGUCUGAUUUCCCUUCUCCCAACUAGCCGAAUUUACUAGCUGCUACUCUAGCUCCUUGAUCGAAUUUGCUGGGCCAAUUUUAGAAAAUUCUGCUCACUUGAACCACGCCUUUCCUAUGCUGCUGAAUAUUUUCCUCUGUUUCUUCUCCCCCUAUUUUUCAGCUGCUGUCAUCUCUAUUUAUGGGAUAAUAACCUCCCACAAUUCAAAAUUAAUUCUGAUCUUAUCCCCUUUUUCUUAGCCUCACCCGUCGCAUGAAAAUAGCUUCAGCUUAGAAGAGUUUUAAUUUAACUCUUCAAAGCUGAUUUGGCUUCCAAUUGAUUGAACUAAAAUCAGCCACCGCUUGGUAAGAAGGAAAUAAUAAUUCCCUUUUUAAGUUUGUCACAUGUUUGGCUUCCAAUUGGACCGACUACUCCUCCUUUAUUUGUUUAAUUCAUUCGGCCUGCUGUACAUCCACUUUGGACCGAAUUUCCUUCUUUGUUUUAUUGUCAAUUCAAUUUCUUUAAAUCAACAUCUGACCACCCUCUUCUAGCAGCCUUAUUUAUGCGAAUUAUCCUCCCAAUUUGAGCUUGUACGGGCAUCAACCUGCACAUGAAAUAAAAUUAAAAUUAAAUUGUUGAAUUGGAGUGCAAUUAAAUUAUUACGGCAUAGAGUGUCUCUAAUCAAUUCA